CUUUGAAGUAGAGGUCGCGGUUUUUAUUACCCCUGUGGAGUCAAGCAAGACGGUGAAACAGGUCUAGGAAAAAUCGCCGAAACCUUCUUUUGUUGCUUAAAAAGAAGCGUUGGGGUGCAAGCGAAUAGUUUGCACACUGUCUUAGUUAAACUAAGGUGAGCUAUGUUUAGU
Molecule: non-coding RNA, 171 nt
Filed under: Enterococcus columbae
Lineage: Bacteria; Bacillati; Bacillota; Bacilli; Lactobacillales; Enterococcaceae
Also listed under: 1 other name
Description: Lysine sequence
Rfam family: Lysine riboswitch aptamer
About the family: Riboswitches are metabolite binding domains within certain messenger RNAs that serve as precision sensors for their corresponding targets.
Source: RNAcentral